GACAGAGGCAUCUGAUUAGCAGGCAAAGUUUUUGAGUGUUCAGUUCUAUGAUAAAACAGUGAAGGCCUAACUUAAUGAUCAGAAAAAUCUGAGAGGUGCACACUAAAAGGCCACGCCUUCAUCGAAGGAACAAGAGAUGGAUUAAAAAGCGAAAACAAAGAAACAUGAUAUGGGAAAGAAAGCAAUGCAAGAAAAGAAAAUGAGGACCUUGAGAUAGAAAGAUGAAGAAACCCCAUAUCUUGUUUUCUGUAGUUUUGCUGAGGUAAUCCUUGGAAGACUGAAAAACCAACAGAUUUAUUUCACCACAAGAAGCAAGAGACUCAAA
Long non-coding RNA from Chelonoidis abingdonii (Abingdon island giant tortoise), 325 nucleotides. RefSeq lists it as uncharacterized. The record is from RefSeq and is a predicted model, not a curated record. Lineage: Eukaryota; Metazoa; Chordata; Testudines; Testudinidae.